AAAGUCGUAACAAGGUUUCCGUAGGUGAACCUGCGGAAGGAUCAUUAACAAAUCUAUACACACGAUCUCUCGGCUUAACCGCUGGGAGACUCGACACACGAUAACUGUUGACGAACAUUGAGACGAUCAAUAUAAUCAACUUUUAACAAUGGAUCUCUUGGCUCUU
This 166-nucleotide unclassified non-coding RNA is filed under the name Rozellomycota sp. RNAcentral describes it as "Cryptomycota sp. partial contains small subunit ribosomal RNA, internal transcribed spacer 1, and 5.8S ribosomal RNA". The stretch from base 1 to 47 matches the Rfam family "Eukaryotic small subunit ribosomal RNA", at positions 1785 to 1831 of the family's 1831-position model. The record is from RNAcentral. Lineage: Eukaryota; Fungi; Rozellomycota.